AUGCUGUGAUGAGAGCACUUUCGUAGUAACUCCUUGAACCGCUCACAUGCCUCAUAUAAAUCAAGUUACUGAAAUGAAGUGAUUUCAUUUCGGAUCUU
This is a non-coding RNA of Gossypium arboreum, 98 nucleotides long. The record is from Rfam. NCBI's taxonomy places the organism in Eukaryota, Viridiplantae, Streptophyta, Magnoliopsida, Malvales, Malvaceae.